CCGCCCCGUUCCCGGCUGGCUGGGGAAGGGGCGUCCGGAGCCGCAGUGGCCCAGGAACAACUACAGCCCGUCGGGGACGAGAGAGAUGGGGGCGGGCGUUAGAAACGCGUUCUCCGCUGCGUGAGGCUGUGGCCUAGACCUCGGCGCGUUUCAUCUCCGGCGUACUCCUCGGGGAGAGCCGGGAGGUCCUCCUCACUCUGUGACCUACGCUGUGGCAGUUGGGAAAGGACCUGAGAAAGUGACAAAAGGCGAUGCUCCGGUCACAGCAGGGGCCCAGAAGGGCGCCCACAAGGGAUCUGAGCACGCCUGGCCCCUGGCUUCCCGAGGAGGGUUGCGCCUUAAGUGGGGUGCGAGGACCGGGCGGGCUCCGGGGCAACAAGGCCCCGCAGUCCCAGGGGUGCUCGCGGUGACCUGGUGGGGCUACUGGUGGGUCGGCCCCGCAGCCGUGAGCCAAGGAAACAGGGCCGGUGGCACUGACGCUCCUGUGAGAACCUAACUGCCACCUGAGGCGUCCAUGCGGGCCUGGCCAGGAGCGCCCUCGAGGAGCCCAGGCAGAUGAGGAAAUUGAAGCUUGUGCCAAACGAGGAAAGGAAUUCGGGUCAGGUCACACAGCUAGUAGAUCUCAGGGCUGGGCUUUGAAUGCACCCUGGCCUACACAGGAAGUUCAAGGCCAACGUGAGCUACUUACAGACCUUCAAAAAAACUAGAAAAUGUAAAAAUAAAG
Molecule: long non-coding RNA, 724 nt
Filed under: Heterocephalus glaber (naked mole-rat)
Lineage: Eukaryota; Metazoa; Chordata; Mammalia; Rodentia; Bathyergidae
Description: lncRNA (ENSHGLG00000032854.1)
Source: RNAcentral